GUACAGCACCCCGUGGGGGUGGGAUCAAGCUGGGAGUGGGUGGGCAGAGCCCUCUCAGGUCAGCAGCCUCUUGGAUGAGGCCACAGAGCUGUAGUCUGUUAACAAGGCCAGAAGAUGCCUAUUUAUUCAUCCUACUUACUGACCCCGAAGCACUACCACUGACACCAUUACCACCAUGGACGGAGGUUUCAGCCUGCUCAGAUGACCAGAGCACUGGGGUGGCAGUCGGGAACACUUUUUACACUGAAACUGAUUUCUGGAGUAAGCAGUACAUACUCAUGCAAAAUUGUAAAGAUGCAAAAAGGAUGCAGAGAAAAAGCCCCACAGUCAAGAUCCCUUGACAUAUUCUUAGGAUCUUUAAAGGCAUCUGGACGUUACUCUAGUACCAGAAACUUGGUGAAGAAAAGAGGACGCCAGGCAAGGGUUGGGAGCCUGGAUGGAACUAAGAUCCCACAUGCUGUGGAGCCCCUAAGCCCUAGCAUCCCAACUAAAACUUGACACAGUCAAAUAAAUAAAUAUAUUAAAAAAAAAAAAAGAUUUAGAGGGCCCUCUCAGUGAAGACAUGUCUCAAAACUCCCUGUUCAAAACCAGGAGGUCAGGAAGCAAAGGAGUCAGGGCGGAAAUGGCCUGAAUUUCAGGGACCCGGCAAGUGAAGAGUUUGGGCUUUGGAAUCAAACAGACAAGAGCACAAACCACAGCUCCACAACAUGUGACCUUGGACAAGCACCUUUACCUCUUCUCUACAUGUUGGUUUCCCUCCUUGUAAUAUGGGAUGGAGACUAGUAACUGCCUCCUCUGCUGGUAAAUAAGAUACAAUCCAAAGGCACAGAGCACCUGGCCCAGAGAGAUUGCUUCGUAUCUGCUAUCCAGCAUGGCCAUCUGAUGGGGCCUGGACCUGGCUAAUUGUGGGCCCUGCUCCUCCCUCUGCCUGAGCCCCCAGCAGCUUCUCUGACCCAGCUGGAGGAAGAAGCUCUGAUGGGCAUCUCCUGUCCGUGCACAUCAAGUUAUUUCUAGUUGAUUUGUUAUUGUGGUUGUUGUGGUUGUUAUUUCUACUAAGAACAUUGAGCUAUGAAUAAACUGUGCAUUUUUCUUGAUGAAUGUGGAAAAGAGAUUCUCUAGGGUGUACAUAAUAAUAAUUAUAAUAAUAAACAACUGGAAAAAUAAGGGCAUUGAGUGCUCAGGAU
This is a long non-coding RNA of Bos taurus (domestic cattle), 1184 nucleotides long. NCBI's taxonomy places the organism in Eukaryota, Metazoa, Chordata, Mammalia, Artiodactyla, Bovidae. The record is from Ensembl.